CUUGUAACAAACAAGAACGACAAACACGCUUUGGCAUACUUACGCCUUCGAAAAAUGAUGAAUUUCUACGACGUGGAUGGCGAAGUAGAAAAAAUACUGGAAGCCCGCAAUAUUCAAAUAAGGCAGAUCAAGCCCAAAGCAG
Pararge aegeria (speckled wood butterfly) is the source of this 142-nucleotide long non-coding RNA. RefSeq lists it as uncharacterized. NCBI's taxonomy places the organism in Eukaryota, Metazoa, Arthropoda, Insecta, Lepidoptera, Nymphalidae. The transcript has 3 exons. The record is from RefSeq and is a predicted model, not a curated record.